CCUACGGGAGGCAGCAGUCGGGAAUCUUGCGCAAUGGGCGAAAGCCUGACGCAGCAACACCGUGUGGGCGACGAAGGCCUUCGGGUCGUAAAGCCCUGUUGUUGGGGACGAAGGACGAAGGGUUAAUAGCCCCUAGUCUGACGGUACCCUUCGAGGAAGCCCCGGCUAACUACGUGCCAGCAGCCGCGGUAAUACGUAGGGGGCGAGCGUUGUCCGGAAUUAUUGGGCGUAAAGAGCGUGUAGGCGGUUCGGUAAGUCUGCCGUGAAAACCCGGGGCUCAACCCCGGGCGUGCGGUGGAUACUGCCGGGCUAGAGGAUGGUAGAGGCGAGUGGAAUUCCCGGUGUAGCGGUGAAAUGCGCAGAUAUCGGGAGGAACACCAGUAGCGAAGGCGGCUCGCUGGGCCAUUCCUGACGCUGAGACGCGAAAGCUAGGGGAGCGAACAGGAUUAGAUACCCUGGUAGUCCUAGCCGUAAACGAUGAACACUAGGUGUGGGGGGAGUCGAAUCCUCCUGUGCCGCAGCCAACGCGUUAAGUGUUCCGCCUGGGGAGUACGGCCGCAAGGCUAAAACUCAAAAGAAUUGACGGGGGCCCGCACAAGCAGCGGAGCAUGUUCUUUAAUUCGAUGCAACGCGAAGAACCUUACCUGGGCUUGACAUGGUGCUGCAAGCGCACGGAAACGUGUGACCUUCGAGGGUGCACCACAGGUGCUGCAUGGCUGUCGUCAGCUCGUGUCGUGAGAUGUUGGGUUAAGUCCCGCAACGGGCGCAACCCCCGUGGCGUGUUGCCAGCAUUAAGUUUGGGACUCACGCCAGACUGCCGGUGACAAACCGGAGGAAGGUGGGGAUGACGUCAGUCAUCAUGGCCCUUACGGGCUGGGCUACACACGUGCUACAUGGCGGUGACAGUGGGCAGCCCCCAGCAAUGGGGAGCUAUCACAAAAAGCCGUCUCAGUUCGGAUUGGGGUCUGCAACUCGACCCCAUGAGUCGGAAUCGCUAGGUAUCGCAGAUCAGACACGCCG
This 1020-nucleotide ribosomal RNA is filed under the name uncultured bacterium. RNAcentral describes it as "bacterial SSU rRNA". It matches the Rfam family "Bacterial small subunit ribosomal RNA", at positions 338 to 1359 of the family's 1533-position model. The record is from RNAcentral.